GUANACUCCUACGGGGAGGCACAGUGGGGGAAUAUUGCACAAUGGGGCGCAAGCCUGAUGCAGCCCAUGCCGCGUGUAUGAAGAAGGCCUUCGGGUUGUUAAAGUACUUUCAGCAGUGAGGAAGGUGGGUAUGUUAAUAGCAUACUCAUUUGACGUUAGCUGCAGAAGAAGCACCGGCUAACUCCGUGCCAGCAGCCGCGGUAAUACGGAGGGUGCGAGCGUUAAUCGGAAUUACUGGGCGUAAAGCGCAUGCAGGUGGUUUGUUAAGUCAGAUGUGAAAGCCCGGGGCUCAACCUCGGAAUUGCAUUUGAAACUGGCAAACUAGAGUACUGUAGAGGGGGGUAGAAUUUCAGGUGUAGCGGUGAAAUGCGUAGAGAUCUGAAGGAAUACCGGUGGCGAAGGCGGCCCCCUGGACAGAUACUGACACUCAGAUGCGAAAGCGUGGGGAGCAAACAGGAUUAGAUACCCUGGUAG
RNAcentral lists this ribosomal RNA (474 nucleotides) under uncultured bacterium. Its description in RNAcentral is "bacterial SSU rRNA". It matches the Rfam family "Bacterial small subunit ribosomal RNA", at positions 331 to 793 of the family's 1533-position model. The record is from RNAcentral.